Molecule: ribosomal RNA, 420 nt
Filed under: Vaucheria litorea
Lineage: Eukaryota; Xanthophyceae; Vaucheriales; Vaucheriaceae
Description: partial Eukaryotic large subunit ribosomal RNA
Rfam family: Eukaryotic large subunit ribosomal RNA
Source: RNAcentral
GCAAGGUUACCCGCCGAAUUUAAGCAUAUUAUUAAGCGGAGGAAAAGAAACUAACAAGGAUUCCCUCAGUAACGGCGAGUGAAGCGGGAAGAGCCCAGCAUGAAAAUCUGUUUGUUUUCAGUAACGGACAGAAUUGUAGUCUAAAGAAGCAAGUGCCAGGUGUGCGUCUCGGCUCGAGUCCUUUGGAAGAAGGCAUCCAUAGAGGGUGAGAGUCCCAUAUGUGGCUGAGAUGGCGCAGCGUACGGUCUGUUUUCGAAGAGUCGAGUUGCUUGGGACUGCAGCUCAAAGUUGGAGGUAAAUUCCUUCAAAGGCUAAAUAAUGGCGAGAGACCGAUAGCGAACAAGUACCGUGAGGGAAAGAUGAAAAGAACUCUGAAAAGAGAGUCAAAAGCACUUGAAAUCGUUGAGGGGUAACCGAGCA